RNAcentral lists this ribosomal RNA (1410 nucleotides) under uncultured organism. Its description in RNAcentral is "16S ribosomal RNA". It matches the Rfam family "Bacterial small subunit ribosomal RNA". The record is from RNAcentral.
ACGAACGCUGGCGGCACGCUUAACACAUGCAAGUCGAACGAGAGAAGAGAAGCUUGCUUUUCUGAUCUAGUGGCGGACGGGUGAGUAACACGUGAGCAAUCUGCCUUUCAGAGGGGGAUACCGAUUGGAAACGAUCGUUAAUACCGCAUAAUAUAAUUGAACCGCAUGAUUUGAUUAUCAAAGAUUUAUCGCUGAAAGAUGAGCUCGCGUCUGAUUAGCUAGUUGGUAAGGUAACGGCUUACCAAGGCGACGAUCAGUAGCCGGACUGAGAGGUUGAUCGGCCACAUUGGGACUGAGACACGGCCCAGACUCCUACGGGAGGCAGCAGUGGGGAAUAUUGCACAAUGGAGGAAACUCUGAUGCAGCGAUGCCGCGUGAGGGAAGAAGGUUUUAGGAUUGUAAACCUCUGUCUUCAGGGACGAAAAAAGACGGUACCUGAGGAGGAAGCUCCGGCUAACUACGUGCCGGCAGCCGCGGUAAUACGUAGGGAGCGAGCGUUGUCCGGAAUUACUGGGUGUAAAGGGAGCGUAGGCGGGAUCGCAAGUCAGAUGUGAAAACUAUGGGCUUAACCCAUAAACUGCAUUUGAAACUGUGGUUCUUGAGUGAAGUAGAGGUAAGCGGAAUUCCUAGUGUAGCGGUGAAAUGCGUAGAUAUUAGGAGGAACAUCAGUGGCGAAGGCGGCUUACUGGGCUUUAACUGACGCUGAGGCUCGAAAGCGUGGGGAGCAAACAGGAUUAGAUACCCUGGUAGUCCACGCCGUAAACGAUGAUUACUAGGUGUGGGGGGACUGACCCCUUCCGUGCCGCAGCAAACGCAAUAAGUAAUCCACCUGGGGAGUACGACCGCAAGGUUGAAACUCAAAGGAAUUGACGGGGGCCCGCACAAGCAGUGGAGUAUGUGGAUUAAUUCGAAGCAACGCGAAGAACCUUACCAGGUCUUGACAUCGUAUGCAUAGCUCAGAGAUGAGUGAAAUCUCUUCGGAGACAUAUAGACAGGUGGUGCAUGGUUGUCGUCAGCUCGUGUCGUGAGAUGUUGGGUUAAGUCCCGCAACGAGCGCAACCCUUACUGUUAGUUGCUACGCAAGAGCACUCUAGCAGGACUGCCGUUGACAAAACGGAGGAAGGUGGGGAUGACGUCAAAUCAUCAUGCCCCUUAUGACCUGGGCCUCACACGUACUACAAUGGCUGUCAACAGAGGGAUGCAAAGCCGCGAGGUGGAGCGAACCCCUAAAAGCAGUCUUAGUUCGGAUUGUAGGCUGCAACCCGCCUACAUGAAGUCGGAAUUGCUAGUAAUCGCAGAUCAGCAUGCUGCGGUGAAUACGUUCCCGGGCCUUGUACACACCGCCCGUCACGCCAUGGGAGUCGGUAACACCCGAAGCCAAUAGUCUAACCGCAAGGAGGACGCAGUCGA